GCCGAGGUGGUGGAACUGGUAGACACGCUGUCUUGAGGGGGCAGUGGGCUUUCGCUCGUGCGAGUUCGAAUCUCGCCCUCGGCACCA
This 87-nucleotide transfer RNA is filed under the name Gemmatimonadota bacterium. Its description in RNAcentral is "Gemmatimonadetes bacterium (beach sand metagenome) tRNA-Leu". It matches the Rfam family "tRNA". Rfam says of the family: Transfer RNA (tRNA) molecules are approximately 80 nucleotides in length. Their secondary structure includes four short double-helical elements and three loops (D, anti-codon, and T loops). The record is from RNAcentral. Lineage: Bacteria; Pseudomonadati; Gemmatimonadota.